GUUGAGGGGAAUGUUGUCUGGACCGAGGAUAUUAUAUACACACAUACAUAUAUAUGUUGAUACAAGUGAUCAAUCAUAUAUAAUAUGUAUAUAGAGUAUUCUCGGACCAGGCUUCAUCCCCCCUAAC
Non-coding RNA from Brassica napus (rape), 127 nucleotides. The record is from Rfam. NCBI's taxonomy places the organism in Eukaryota, Viridiplantae, Streptophyta, Magnoliopsida, Brassicales, Brassicaceae.